AGUCGUAACAAGGUAACCGUAGGUGAACCUGCGGUUGGAUCAUUAAAGAAAUGAUGAGGCUGCAUUCCUUGCCGCAAGGUGAGGUGUGCAUGCCACUUACCCAACCUUUUGUGAACUGUGUUGUCUCUGGCGGCCGGGUGGGUUGGUCAAGUUCAACACUUGACUGUCUGCUUGUCAGCUAGGGUGUGCCCUUGGGGGCCCCCCUUGCCGUGGACAAACCGCCAACUGUGUCCAAACCUAUGCCUUUGAUUCUUGUCUCUGAUGCAUCUGUUGAAAUUAAACAGAAACAACUUUUGGCAACGGAUCUCUUGGCUCUC
This 317-nucleotide unclassified non-coding RNA is filed under the name fungal sp. RNAcentral describes it as "partial internal transcribed spacer region". The stretch from base 1 to 45 matches the Rfam family "Eukaryotic small subunit ribosomal RNA", at positions 1787 to 1831 of the family's 1831-position model. Lineage: Eukaryota; Fungi. The record is from RNAcentral.